AGUGGCGGACGGGUGAGUAACGCGUGAGAAUCUGGCUUCAGGUCGGGGAUAGCCACUGGAAACGGUGGAUAAUACCGGAUGUGCCGAGAGGUGAAAGAUUGAUUGCCUGAAGAUGAGCUCGCGUCUGAUUAGCUAGUUGGUGGGGUAAGAGCUUACCAAGGCGACGAUCAGUAGCUGGUCUGAGAGGAUGAUCUGCCACACUGGGACUGAGACACGGCCCAGACUCCUACGGGAGGCAGCAGUGGGGAAUUUUCCGCAAUGGGCGAAAGCCUGACGGAGCAAUACCGCGUGAGGGAGGAAGGCUCUUGGGUUGUAAACCUCUUUUCUCAAGGAAUAAAAAAAUGAAGGUACUUGAGGAAUAAGCAUCGGCUAACUCCGUGCCAGCAGCCGCGGUAAUACGGAGGAUGCAAGCGUUAUCCGGAAUGAUUGGGCGUAAAGCGUCCGCAGGUGGCAGUGUAAGUCUGCUGUUAAAGAGUCACGCUUAACGUGAUAAAGGCAGUGGAAACUACACAGCUAGAGUGUGGUCGGGGCAGAGGGAAUUCCUGGUGUAGCGGUGAAAUGCGUAGAGAUCAGGAAGAACACCGGUGGCGAAGGCGCUCUGCUAGGCCAUAACUGACACUGAGGGACGAAAGCUAGGGGAGCGAAUGGGAUUAGAUACCCCAGUAGUCCUAGCCGUAAACGAUGGAUACUAGGCGUUG
RNAcentral lists this ribosomal RNA (698 nucleotides) under uncultured Nostocales cyanobacterium. RNAcentral describes it as "bacterial SSU rRNA". It matches the Rfam family "Bacterial small subunit ribosomal RNA", at positions 94 to 825 of the family's 1533-position model. Lineage: Bacteria; Bacillati; Cyanobacteriota; Cyanophyceae; Nostocales. The record is from RNAcentral.